GCCAGACUCCUACGGGAGGCAGCAGUGGGGAAUAUUGGGCAAUGGGCGCAAGCCUGACCCAGCAAUGCCGCGUGAAGGAAGAAGGCCCUCGGGUUGUAAACUUCUUUUAUCAGGGACGAAGGAUGUGACGGUACCUGAUGAAUAAGCUCCGGCUAACUACGUGCCAGCAGCCGCGGUAAUACGUAGGGAGCAAGCGUUAUCCGGAUUUACUGGGUGUAAAGGGCGCGUAGGCGGGAUGGCAAGUCAGAUGUGAAAUCCAGGGGCUCAACCCCUGAACUGCAUUUGAAACUGUCGUUCCUGAGUACUGGAGAGGUUGACGGAAUUCCUAGUGUAGCGGUGAAAUGCGUAGAUAUUAGGAGGAACACCAGUGGCGAAGGCGACUUUCUGGACUGUACCUGACGCUGAGGCGCGAAAGCGUGGGUAGCGAACGGGAUUAGAUACCCCGGUA
RNAcentral lists this ribosomal RNA (448 nucleotides) under uncultured bacterium. Its description in RNAcentral is "bacterial SSU rRNA". It matches the Rfam family "Bacterial small subunit ribosomal RNA", at positions 330 to 792 of the family's 1533-position model. The record is from RNAcentral.